AGCAGCCGCGGUAAUUCCAGCUCCAAUAGCGUAUAUUAAAGUUGUUGCAGUUAAAAAGCUCGUAGUUGAACUUCGGGGUUUACCCAUUGGUCAGGCUUAAUUGUCUGCACUGGUGAGAUGAAUCUCUACCUUCUGAGGAACUUUCAUGCCAUUUAUUUGGUGUGAUUGGAAAUCAGGACUGUUACUUUAGAAAAAAUUAGAGUGUUUAAAGCAGGCUAACGUCUGAAUACAUUAGCAUGGAAUAAUGAAAUAGGACGGAUUGAUUCUAUUUCGUUGGUUUCUAGGAUCACCGUAAUGAUUAAUAGGGAUAGUUGGGGGCAUUAGUAUUCAAUUGUCAGAGGUGAAAUUCUUGGAUUUAUUGAAGACUAACUACUGCGAAAGCAUUCGCCAAGGAUGUUUUCAUUAAUCAAGAACGAAAGUUAGGGGAUCGAAGACGAUCAGAUACCGUCGUAGUCUUAACCAUAAACUAUGCCGACUAGGGAUCGGACGAAGUUAAUUUUAUAAUGACGCGUUCGGA
RNAcentral lists this ribosomal RNA (517 nucleotides) under uncultured Diversispora. RNAcentral's name for it is "SSU rRNA". It matches the Rfam family "Eukaryotic small subunit ribosomal RNA", at positions 569 to 1084 of the family's 1831-position model. Lineage: Eukaryota; Fungi; Glomeromycota; Glomeromycetes; Diversisporales; Diversisporaceae. The record is from RNAcentral.